This 78-nucleotide small RNA is filed under the name Arabidopsis thaliana (thale cress). RNAcentral's name for it is "ATSL100270". Lineage: Eukaryota; Viridiplantae; Streptophyta; Magnoliopsida; Brassicales; Brassicaceae. The record is from RNAcentral.
AAUGUUAAAUUAUAUUCAAAGAAAAAAUAUCGUUGUUACAACAAGGUACAAUACAAUCAUCACAACUUUUUUGCUGUA